RNAcentral lists this long non-coding RNA (1262 nucleotides) under Papio anubis (olive baboon). RNAcentral's name for it is "lncRNA (ENSPANG00000049920.1)". Lineage: Eukaryota; Metazoa; Chordata; Mammalia; Primates; Cercopithecidae. The record is from RNAcentral.
GGUACCCCCUCUCUCUUCAUUCUUCCUGCAGUUGGAGAGUAGACACAGGAUGGGGACUGUAACUUCAGUCAGGCAGAGAAGAGUCUCUCUGGUGAUGAGGCAGUGAUGUAGGUGAAGCCUGCAUCCCAAGGCACCCUGAGGAUUACAGUCACUCGCCUGCCCUGGGUUGCCCACCUAAUGAGAGAAAAAUAACAUUUCAUCUGUUUGAGCCUCCGUGAUUUUAGUUCUCUUUGCUAAUACAGCUAAGGUUGUAAUCUAGAAAAUGACUGCUGGAUUUUCUUUUUCUUUUUUUGAGACAGAGUUUUGCUCUUGUUGCCCAGGCUGGAGUGCAAUGACAUGAUCUCAGCUCACCACAACCUCUGCCUCCCGGGUUCAAGCGAUUCUCCUGCCUCAGCCUCCUGAGUAGCUGAGAUUACAGGCAUGCACCACACCGCCCAGCUAAUUUUGUAUUUUUAGUAGAGACAGGGUUUCUUCAUGUUGCUCAGGCUGGACUCAAACUUUUGACCUCAAGUGAUUCUCCCGCCUCAGCCUCCCAAAGUGUAGGGAUUACUACGCCUGGCCUACUGUGUUGUUUUUAAGCAGGAUUGAGUGUCACAGUCAGCCAAGAAACUUAAAAAAUACAGAUAGAGCAAGAUGGCCCACUAGAGAUGCCUGACAUCCAUCCUCUCAAUAAGAAAGGACCAAGGCAGCAAAUAAACUGCUAAGGCUUGACUGGAGUCAUACGGGAGAGCACUGAAGUGAAUCAGGGGAGGGAAGAUGCAUUUGUGGUGGUUGCAAGUCCAGGAGGACCCCUUGCAGGCACCUGGCCUCUGCAGCCCUGGCUCCCCUGCCCAGGUCAAUUUGAAGUGAGGGGUACUUCCUGUUACAGGUAAAAAGAUAAGCAGAAGAUCUCCACCAGCCCUCACUGUCACGGCAACACCGAGAGUCCUCGUUAGAGGAGAAUCCCACAGUCAUCGCAAGCCCUGAGUCCAGUGUGAAGGGCUGCUGGGAAUCUACGCAGCUGCCUUGAACCAGCAGCACCUCCCCUGACUCUGGGUCCACCAAAGGAGCUCAGUGUGCAUUUGCCGAUUGAUUCCAGUAGGCCAAGAAAUGAAGGGCCACAAGGAAAGAGAGAGGGACCAAUGAGAAGUCCCCAUUUCCUCAGCCUUCCAGCAGCAAGACAUAGCUGACAAAGUGAGUGGUUCUCAAAGGGCUGAUAUUUUGAAUCAGAAAAGAAGGCUUGCAAAAUGCAUAUUUACAAAUGUCCUUCUUUUAGCAUGAAA